GAAAAGGUCCCGGAGCGAACAGAUAAGGAGCUUGCUCCUUUGAAGUUAGCGGCGGACGGUGUGAGUAACACGUGGGUAACCUACCUAUAAGACUGGGAUAACUUCGGGAAACCGGAGCUAAUACCGGAUAACAUUUAGAACCGCAUGGUUCUAAAGUGAAAGAUGGUUUUGCUAUCACUUAUAGAUGGACCCGCGCCGUAUUAGCUAGUUGGUAAGGUAACGGCUUACCAAGGCGAACGAUACGUAGCCGACCUGAGAGGGUGAUCGGCCACACUGGAACUGAGACACGGUCCAGACUCCUACGGGAGGCAGCAGUAGGGAAUCUUCCGCAAUGGGCGAAAGCCUGACGGAGCAACGCCGCGUGAGUGAUGAAGGGUUUCGGCUCGUAAAACUCUGUUAUUAGGGAAGAACAAAUGUGUAAGUAACUGUGCACAUCUUGACGGUACCUAAUCAGAAAGCCACGGCUAACUACGUGCCAGCAGCCGCGGUAAUACGUAGGUGGCAAGCGUUAUCCGGAAUUAUUGGGCGUAAAGCGCGCGUAGGCGGUUUCUUAAGUCUGAUGUGAAAGCCCACGGCUCAACCGUGGAGGGUCAUUGGAAAACUGGGAAACUUUACUGCACAAAAAAGAGAGGGGGAAUUCCCUGUGUAGCGGUGAAAAUGCGCAGAAAUAUGUGAAGGGACACCCCGUGGGCGAAAGGGACUUUCUGGGCCCUUAACUUACACUUAUAUGGGGAAAAGCUGGGGGAACAAACAGGGGCUCACACCCUGGGGUGGCCCCCCCCCUAAACCGUGAGAUGGGAAAUGUGAGGGGGGGUUCCCCCCCCUUCUGGGGGGGGGCUUAUAGGGUUUAAGCAGUCCGCCUGGGGAGUACGACCGCAAGGUUGAAACUCAAAGGAAUUGACGGGGACCCGCACAAGCGGUGGAGCAUGUGGUUUAAUUCGAAGCAACGCGAAGAACCUUACCAAAUCUUGACAUCCUUUGAAAACUCUAGAGAUAGAGCUUUCCCCUUCGGGGGACAAAGUGACAGGUGGUGCAUGGUUGUCGUCAGCUCGUGUCGUGAGAUGUUGGGUUAAGUCCCGCAACGAGCGCAACCCUUAAGCUUAGUUGCCAUCAUUAAGUUGGGCACUCUAGGUUGACUGCCGGUGACAAACCGGAGGAAGGUGGGGAUGACGUCAAAUCAUCAUGCCCCUUAUGAUUUGGGCUACACACGUGCUACAAUGGACAAUACAAAGGGCAGCUAAACCGCGAGGUCAUGCAAAUCCCAUAAAGUUGUUCUCAGUUCGGAUUGUAGUCUGCAACUCGACUACAUGAAGCGGAAUCGCUAGUAAUCGUAGAUCAGCAUGCUACGGUGAAUACGUUCCCGGGUUUUGUACACACCGCCCGUCACACCACGAGAGUUUGUAACUCCAGAAUCCGGUGGCGUAAUCUAUUUUUGGACACCAUGGCGCCUU
This 1451-nucleotide ribosomal RNA is filed under the name Staphylococcus xylosus. RNAcentral's name for it is "bacterial SSU rRNA". It matches the Rfam family "Bacterial small subunit ribosomal RNA". The record is from RNAcentral. Lineage: Bacteria; Bacillati; Bacillota; Bacilli; Caryophanales; Staphylococcaceae.